RNAcentral lists this ribosomal RNA (399 nucleotides) under uncultured bacterium. RNAcentral describes it as "bacterial SSU rRNA". It matches the Rfam family "Bacterial small subunit ribosomal RNA", at positions 30 to 431 of the family's 1533-position model. The record is from RNAcentral.
AUUGAACGCUGGCGGAAUGCUUUACACAUGCAAGUCGAACGGCAGCACGGGGCAACCUGGUGGCGAGUGGCGAACGGGUGAGUAAUACAUCGGAACGUGCCCAAUCGUGGGGGAUAACGUAGCGAAAGUUACGCUAAUACCGCAUACGAUCUACGGAUGAAAGCGGGGGAUCGCAAGACCUCGCGCGAGUGGAGCGGCCGAUGUCAGAUUAGGUAGUUGGUGGGGUAAAGGCUCACCAAGCCAACGAUCUGUAGCUGGUCUGAGAGGACGACCAGCCACACUGGAACUGAGACACGGUCCAGACUCCUACGGGAGGCAGCAGUGGGGAAUUUUGGACAAUGGGCGCAAGCCUGAUCCAGCCAUUCCGCGUGCAGGAUGAAGGCCUUCGGGUUGUAAACU